CCUACGGGUGGCAGCAGUGAGGAAUAUUUGUCAAUGGGCGCGCGCCUGAACCAGCCAAGUCGCGUGAGGGAAGACGGUCCUAUGGAUUGUAACCCUCUUUUGUCGGGGAGCCAAAGACGCCACGCGUGGCGUUCCGAGAGUACCCGAAGAAAAAGCAUCGGCAAACUCCGGGACAGCAGCCGCGGUAAUACGGAGGAUGCGAGCGUUAUCCGGAUUUAUUGGGUUUAAAGGGUGCGCAGGCGGAAGAUCAAGUCAGCGGUAAAAUUGAGAGGCUCAACCUCUUCGAGCCGUUGAAACUGGGUUUCUUGAGUGAACGAGAAGUAUGCGGAAUGCGUGGGGUAGCGGUGAAAUGCAUAGAUAUCACGCAGAACUCCGAUUGCGAAGGCAGCAUACCGGCGCUCAACUGACGCUCAUGCACGAAAGUGUGGGUAUCGAACAGGAUUAGAUACCCUUGUAGUC
This 459-nucleotide ribosomal RNA is filed under the name uncultured bacterium. Its description in RNAcentral is "partial 16S ribosomal RNA". It matches the Rfam family "Bacterial small subunit ribosomal RNA", at positions 338 to 795 of the family's 1533-position model. The record is from RNAcentral.